AACAGCUAGCUCAACCCACAAAAGCUAAAUUUACGACAUAGAAUAACCCAGCACAAACUAACUACCUUAACUAAACCAUUCGACCACCCCAGUACGGGCGACAGAAAAGGACCAAUAGAAGCUAUAGAUAAAGUACCGCAAGGGAAAGCUGAAAGAGAGCUGAAAAUAGCGCACUAAAGUAAGUAAAAGCAGAGAUAAAAUCUCGUAC
This 208-nucleotide ribosomal RNA is filed under the name Anodontostoma chacunda (Chacunda gizzard shad). Its description in RNAcentral is "partial 16S ribosomal RNA". The record is from RNAcentral. Lineage: Eukaryota; Metazoa; Chordata; Actinopteri; Clupeiformes; Clupeidae.